AACCCAGGGGUAUUUUGCUCUUACGUUUCACUCGCGAGUGAAACGUUAGAGCAAAAUACUCCUGGGUU
Molecule: non-coding RNA, 68 nt
Organism: Nematostella vectensis (starlet sea anemone)
Lineage: Eukaryota; Metazoa; Cnidaria; Anthozoa; Actiniaria; Edwardsiidae
Source: Rfam